Poeciliopsis prolifica (blackstripe livebearer) is the source of this 1500-nucleotide long non-coding RNA. RefSeq lists it as uncharacterized. Lineage: Eukaryota; Metazoa; Chordata; Actinopteri; Cyprinodontiformes; Poeciliidae. The record is from RefSeq and is a predicted model, not a curated record. The transcript is spliced from 3 exons.
UCCAAAGCGCUAUUGUGUCAGACUCAUCUCCCGCUGAAGAGGAUCCAGCGACAUCAAGAGAUUACGGAAAAUCACGCGAGAUAACUGGCUUGCACCUUGUUGGGUUUUUUCAAAGGCAGAGGGGAGAUUCCUGGCGUGCAUCUGCUUAAUUUGAAGAAGAACAUCACCUGAUCACCUAUCUGUAAUCCACCUGCUUAAGUUCUGGUCAAGGGGCUCAUCGGCUAUCAAGUUAUAGAUUUCAGUGGCUAAUAGUAAGUUUUGCCAGAUCUAAAGUGACUGAAUGUAGUGUUAGAGAGCUUAUAAAGCUAGGGUUCAGCUAAACAUUUAUUUGGCCAGUCUGUUUUAUUUGUCUUUAUUUGCGUGGGGAUGUGGAAAUGUAAGGAGUGUAGUCUCUCUCUGUCUCGUAGAUAUGACCUGUUAAAACAUUUUACACUUAAACACCGGCAUAUGCGAUGUUACCCAUGCCCACACAUAGACUGUCCAUGUACUUGUAAGACAUGGAAUGCUUUGCAUAUUCAUUUAAGUAGAAGGAUAUAGACUGUGUUGACCAUUCUGUACUUUUCACAUAUUUCUUUGGUGAUAUAUUCAUGUCUUUAUUUAAACCUCUAACAGCUUCAGUUAGAUGUUUAAAUAAAAUGUUAAACUCCAUUUUAGUCAUGGCAUAAUGAAGGGAUACUAACAAUUUUAAAUAUCUUUCAAACAGACUGCAAGUCACUGAUCACUUUUGUUGUGACUUCCUUUGAAUGCAGCUAUGUUUUCAAGUGUGUGAACCUAUACUGCUGGAGUUUUGAGAUUGUUCUCAUUGUUUUUUAAUCUGCAUAUUUAGGAAGACACUGCUGAGGUCAGAUGAGAGUGCAUCCUCAAAGGUCUGUGUGUACCUAAAUGAAGAUCCAGAGAAGCUGGUGAGGGAGUACAUGGACGUUGAUGAAUGUGCAGAAAUGGCCAAAGCCGAGGCUGUCCUCGGAAUCGUCAUUUGAGCAGAGGGUGCAGAGGCUGCCGAUGCACAUCUGGAUGUUGGGAUUGUCCUGGAGGAGGUGGAAGUUAUGAACAGCUUGGGCAGUGUAUCUUCUGCAAUAGUGAUGCUGCUGGGACUAAUCUACGCACUAAACUUGAGCUACCCUCAAGUUUAGUGCGUUCAGCACUCAACUUGCUCAGUAACUCAAGCAUACCUUUGAAGUAAUACAGGAAAUAAUGAAAUUGGAUGGAAAGAACUUAUCAAAGAAAGCACAAGUUCUCAAUAUGAAACUUGCCGCUAAGUUGAGUAAAGUUUCAUAUGGAAAAUGAGUGUUUAAAGUCUGCAGUAAAAAAGAUUUAUAUUGUUACAGUUCUCUAAGUUGAGCAACUAUAAUGACAUGUUUAUGUUGUAAAGAAUUGGCUGGGAAAUGAAACUGUAACCUUUUUGUAGUUGUUUUUUUUAUUUCAAUGUCCAACUCAGCUGUUUUGUGCUGUGUAAAAAAACGAUGUAUAACAAUUUUGAAAAUACAAUUGUGUUGUACCUUU